AAAGAGGACUCACGUUUUUGUUCUGUUUCUGAGUGCCUACUAUAAGCCAGCACUGUUACAAACAUGGCGCUCAUUAUUCUCAUUUAUAGAUGUGAAAAACUAGGCCCAGAGAGGUUAAGAAACACAGCGAGUUCACACAGCUGAGCCAGCGUUGAAACCAUGGUUACCUCCCUCGGAAAAUUGACGCUUUCUUUUUCACAAAUCCACAACAGGUGGAGGUGGGGACGGCAGGAAAUGAGGGAUAAAUGGGGCGCCAAUACUCAGAUCUUGCCUGUCAGCUGGCAGGAGGAGUUUCGGAAACCCUUUCGGGGCUGCCCUAAACGAGUUGUUAUCUCUCCACUCUCUGCCUUCUUCGGGCACAAUUCAGGUUACGUGAUGGAAGAUACAGAUGGAGUUUUGCUUUUUAAAGUCCCAGGGAGAGCUGCGAUCACAGAGGGUUUCUCUGGUUCAGAUCCUGGGCGCGGACAUGGCACCACUCAUCAGGCCAUGCUGAGAUGGCAUCCUGCAUGCAAUGACUGGAAGGACCCACAACUAAGGAAGACUAGCACUGAGCUAACAUCUGUACCCAUCUUCCUCCAUCCUGGAUGUGGGUGGCUGCCAUGGCACAGCUGACAAGUGGUGUAGGUUCCACCAAAAUCCAUCUCCUGUGCCACCGGGGAGAGUGGGACACACUCUAGAGAGCCAGUUAAGAAGGAGGCUUAGUUCCACCUUUGCCAUCUCCUGGCUGUGUGACCUGGGGCCAGUGAGCACCUUGUCUUUCUCUUCACCUCAUCAAGUUGCUGACAUACAGCCUGUCAAAGGCACCCAGUCCUGGAAUUGCCCUCUGGAACUUUCUGGCCAAAUAGUCUUCCAGUCCUUGCUGGGCAGGGAAAUAGUCCUGUGCGGUGGCUGAACGAGCUCAGGACACUCCUGCACUUGUCCCAAAUCGGGCUCCUUACAGCAAGUCCUCUGCUCCUGGUUCUUGUCUUCAGAACUCAUCCAUCCUUUACAUCCUUUCAUGCCGUGGUGAUAGCU
Molecule: long non-coding RNA, 1014 nt
Filed under: Equus asinus (donkey)
Lineage: Eukaryota; Metazoa; Chordata; Mammalia; Perissodactyla; Equidae
Description: lncRNA (ENSEASG00005036244.1)
Source: RNAcentral